AUGAAGACGACAGGAGGAGUUCCCAUGUCCGGACUUCCCUUCUUCCUCUUCCUCUGUCUCUUCUCCUUCUUCACUGCCUCUGCCUCUACCAAGCAAGGCCAGGUCUAUAUAGUGUAUCUGGGCGAGGACGCCGCAGCGAAGUCGAAGGGGGCGAUCCUUGAUGAUCACCAUGCCCUCCUCCUCUCCGUCAAGGGCAGCGAGGAGGAGGCACGGGCGUCGCUGCUGUACAGCUACAAGCACAGCCUGAAUGGCUUCGCGGCUCUUCUCUCCGAUGAUGAAGCCACGAAGCUUUCAGAGAGGACUGAGGUAGUGUCCACCUUUCGGAGCGACGGGAGGUGGUCCCCCCACACCACGAGGUCUUGGGAGUUUGUGGGCUUGGAGGAAGGGCUCAGCAAGGGCUGGCUGCCGUCCGGCGCUCACACCGGCGAGAAUGUCAUCGUAGGCAUGCUGGACUCCGGGAUCUGGCCGGAGUCGAGGAGCUUCAGCGACGAGGGGCUAGGACCAGUGCCCCCGCGGUGGAAGGGGGCGUGUCAAGGAGGAGACUCCUUCAAUUCCUCCUCCUGCAAUAGGAAGGUCAUCGGCGCGCGGUACUACCUCAAGGCGUACGAGGCCCACCACGGCAGGCUGAACGCCACCAACGCGUACCGCUCGCCGCGCGACCACGACGGCCACGGCACCCACACCGCGUCCACCGUCGCGGGCCGCACUGUGCCGGGCGUGGCGGCGCUCGGCGGGUUCGCGGCCGGCACGGCCUCGGGCGGCGCGCCGCUCGCCCGCCUCGCCAUCUACAAGGUGUGCUGGCCCAUCCCGGGGCCCAACCCCAACAUCGAGAACACAUGCUUCGACGCCGACAUGCUCGCGGCCAUGGACGACGCGGUCGGCGACGGCGUCGACGUGAUGAGCGUCUCCAUCGGGUCCUCCGGGAAGCCGCCCCGGCUACCGGACGACGGCAUCGCCGUCGGCGCGCUGCACGCCGCCAGGCGCGGCGUGGUCGUCGUGUGCAGCGGUGGGAACUCUGGCCCCGCGCCGGCCACCGUGUCGAACCUUGCACCGUGGAUACUCACGGUCGGCGCCAGCAGCAUCGACCGCUCUUUCAACUCCCCGAUCACGCUUGGCAAUGGCAUGGUGAUCAUGGGACAAACGGUAACACCAUAUCAACUGCCGCCGAACAGGACGUAUCCAAUGGUUUAUGCAGCACAGGCCGUGGUUCCUGGCACUCCCGCCAACGUUACCAACCAAUGCCUGCCGAAUUCGCUCUCGCCGCAGAAGGUGCGAGGCAAAAUCGUGGUGUGCUUGAGGGGGAGCGGCCUGAGGGUGGGCAAAGGCCUGGAGGUGAAGCGGGCGGGCGGCGCGGCGAUUGUGCUCGGCAACCCGCCAUUGUACGGCAGCGAGGUCCCCGUCGACGCGCACGUGCUCCCCGGAACGGCAGUGUCCAUGGCCGACGUGAACACCAUCCUCAAGUACAUUAACUCCAGCGCGAACCCAACCGCUUACCUGGAGCGCUCGAGGACAGUCGUGGACGUGAAGCCGUCGCCGGUGAUGGCGCAGUUCUCGUCGCGUGGCCCCAACGUCCUCGAGCCCAGCAUUCUCAAGCCUGACGUUACGGCGCCGGGCCUGAACAUCCUGGCGGCGUGGAGCGAGGCGUCGUCGCCCACAAAGCUCGACGGCGACAAUCGCGUGGUGAAGUACAACAUCAUCUCGGGGACAUCAAUGUCGUGCCCGCAUGUCUCCGCCACCGCCGUCCUCCUCAAGUCUGCCCACCCCGACUGGAGCGCCGCCGCAAUCCGAUCAGCCAUCAUGACCACCGCAACAGCUAACAACGCGGAAAGCGGCCCAAUAAUGAACGCGGACGGAACGGUGGCGGGGCCCAUGGACUAUGGCUCGGGCCACAUCAGGCCCAGGCACGCGCUGGACCCGGGCCUCGUGUACGACGCGUCCUUCCAGGACUACCUCCUCUACGCCUGCGCCAGCGGCGGCGCGCAGCUCGACCGCUCGUUCCCGUGCCCGGCGACCCCGCCGCGUCCGCACGAGCUCAACUACCCUUCCGUCGCCAUCCACGGCCUCAACGGGUCCGCCACCGUGCGCCGGACGGUGACCAACGUCGGCGAGCACGGGGCGCAUUACAGCGUCGCCGUGGUCGAGCCCAUGGGCUUCUCCGUGAAGGUCUCGCCGACGAGCCUCGCCUUCGCACGCGCCGGGGAGAAGAAGACCUUCACGAUAAAGAUCGCAGCGACGGAGAAGAGAAGUCGGCGUCCGAAGAGGAAAUAUCUGGCAGGCUCGUACACGUGGAGCGACGGAGUCCAUGCUGUGAGGAGCCCCGUCGUGGUUCUCGUCGCGUGA
RNAcentral lists this ribosomal RNA (2340 nucleotides) under Triticum aestivum (bread wheat). Its description in RNAcentral is "partial small subunit ribosomal RNA". The record is from RNAcentral. Lineage: Eukaryota; Viridiplantae; Streptophyta; Magnoliopsida; Poales; Poaceae.